GAGCAAUCCAUGGAGUAAAGUGGCGCACGGGUGAGUAACACGUGACUAACCUACCCUUGAGUGGGGAAUAACCUCGGGAAACCGGGGCUAAUACCGCAUAACACCUACGGGUCAAAGGAGCAAUUCGCUUAAGGAGGGGGUCGCGGCAGAUUAGUUAGUUGGCGGGGUAAUGGCCCACCAAGACGGUGAUCUGUAUCCGGCCUGAGAGGGCGCACGGACACACUGGAACUGAAACACGGUCCAGACUCCUACGGGAGGCAGCAGUGGGGAAUUUUGCGCAAUGGGGGAAACCCUGACGCAGCAACGCCGCGUGGAGGAUGAAGUCCCUUGGGACGUAAACUCCUUUCGAUCGGGACGAUUAUGACGGUACCGGAAGAAGAAGCCCCGGCUAACUUCGUGCCAGCAGCCGCGGUAAUACGAGGGGGGCGAGCGUUGUUCGGAAUUAUUGGGCGUAAAGGGCGCGUAGGCGGUCGGAUAAGUCUCGUGUGAAAUCUUCGGGCUCAACUCGGAGUCUGCACGAGAAACCAUCUGGCUUGAGUGUGGGAGAGGUGAGUGGAAUUCCUGGUGUAGCGGUGAAAUGCGUAGAUAUCAGGAGGAACACCUGUGGCGAAAGCGGCUCACUGGACCACAACUGACGCUGAGGCGCGAAAGCUAGGGGAGCAAACAGGAUUAGAUACCCUGGUAGUCCUAGCCCUAAACGAUGAUCGCUUGGUGUGA
This 717-nucleotide ribosomal RNA is filed under the name uncultured bacterium. RNAcentral's name for it is "bacterial SSU rRNA". It matches the Rfam family "Bacterial small subunit ribosomal RNA", at positions 77 to 825 of the family's 1533-position model. The record is from RNAcentral.